RNAcentral lists this ribosomal RNA (1027 nucleotides) under human gut metagenome. RNAcentral's name for it is "bacterial SSU rRNA". It matches the Rfam family "Bacterial small subunit ribosomal RNA", at positions 8 to 1030 of the family's 1533-position model. The record is from RNAcentral.
AGAGUUUGAUCCUGGCUCAGGAUGAACGCUAGCGACAGGCUUAACACAUGCAAGUCGAGGGGCAGCGAGGGAGUGGCAACACUUCUGUCGGCGACCGGCGCACGGGUGAGUAACGCGUAUGCAACCUGCCCUUCACAGGGGGAUAACCGGGAGAAAUUCCGACUAAUACCGCAUACGUCCUUUGGGGGCAUCCCCGGAGGAUGAAAGAAUUAUCGGUGAAGGAUGGGCAUGCGUGAUAUUAGGUAGUUGGCGGGGCAACGGCCCACCAAGCCCACGAUAUCUAGGGGUUCUGAGAGGAAGGUCCCCCACAUUGGUACUGAGACACGGACCAAACUCCUACGGGAGGCAGCAGUGAGGAAUAUUGGUCAAUGGACGAGAGUCUGAACCAGCCAAGUCGCGUGAAGGAAGACGGAUCUAUGGUUUGUAAACUUCUUUAGUGCGGGAACAAAGCGGCGUCGUGACGCCGGAUGAGUGUACCGCAAGAAUAAGCAUCGGCUAACUCCGUGCCAGCAGCCGCGGUAAUACGGAGGAUGCGAGCGUUAUCCGGAUUUAUUGGGUUUAAAGGGAGCGCAGGCUGCGAGGCAAGUCAGCGGUCAAAUGUCGGGGCUCAACCCCGGCCUGCCGUUGAAACUGUCCUGCUAGAGUUCGAGUGAGGUAUGCGGAAUGCGUUGUGUAGCGGUGAAAUGCAUAGAUAUGACGCAGAACUCCGAUUGCGAAGGCAGCAUACCAACUCGCGACUGACGCUGAGGCUCGAAAGCGUGGGUAUCGAACAGGAUUAGAUACCCUGGUAGUCCACGCAGUAAACGAUGAAUACUAACUGUUCGGAGGGCGACCUCUGAGUGGUAAAGCGAAAGCGUUAAGUAUUCCACCUGGGGAGUACGCCGGCAACGGUGAAACUCAAAGGAAUUGACGGGGGCCCGCACAAGCGGAGGAACAUGUGGUUUAAUUCGAUGAUACGCGAGGAACCUUACCCGGGCUCAAACGUCGGGCGAAUCAUCCUGAAAGGGGUGAGCCAGCAAUGGCGGCC